RNAcentral lists this ribosomal RNA (253 nucleotides) under uncultured bacterium. RNAcentral's name for it is "partial 16S ribosomal RNA". It matches the Rfam family "Bacterial small subunit ribosomal RNA", at positions 524 to 776 of the family's 1533-position model. The record is from RNAcentral.
UACGUAGGGGGCAAGCGUUGUCCGGAUUUAUUGGGCGUAAAGAGCGUGUAGGCGGUUUGGUAGGUCCGCUGUGAAAACUCGAGCUCAACCUCGAGACGCCGGUGGAAACCAUCAGACUAGAGUCCGGAAGAGGAGAGUGGAAUUCCGUGGUGGUAGCGGUGAAUGCGCAGAUAUCAGGGAGAACACCCGUGGCUAAGGCGGCUCUCUAGUACGGUACUGACGCUGAGACGCGAAAGCGUGGGGAGCGAACAGG